Rhipicephalus microplus (southern cattle tick) is the source of this 2203-nucleotide long non-coding RNA. The record is from RefSeq and is a predicted model, not a curated record. Lineage: Eukaryota; Metazoa; Arthropoda; Arachnida; Ixodida; Ixodidae.
CUGUAAUAGCGUUGUAGUUGCGUUGCUUUUUGUCUUUUUUUUUUGCCCGCCCAGCUUCUUUAAAGUGGACGCUGCUAUGGAGGACACCGCUCUAGAAAUGAAAAUAUGGCCCUCACCACGCUCGUUCGUUCCUCCGUGGCCGUCACGAACGAGCGGAUUCCUUCUUUUAUGCGAAUGGAGAAAUAUCUCGAUGUUGUGGCGAUGUCGUACGUGUUUCUGUCGGCCCAAAUAUUAAAGCAACUGCGAACGACGACCGUUGAUGUCAGACCUUCAAGUCCUAUCGACCACGGUUUCCUUUUUGCCGCCAGAUGCCUGGACGAUCAAUUUUGCCGCACUUCCUGAGCGCGGCACGCCGAAUUCAUGGGCGUAAGGUGAGGUGGUGGUCUUCUGUACCAGGGCAGCAUAUAGGCAAGAUGUUCAACUGAUCUUGAUCCAGCUCACUCUUUUGAGGCAGCUGUUGAUGACAGCCUGUCCUCUGCCCGUGCUGCCAACUGUCACAGGUACCUGGCUGUAUGCAUGGACGAACUUUGUGUGCCGCAAAUGUGUGUGCGUGGAAACUUUGGUGAAAUUUGGUAAUGUUAGUGCGGGCAUACAUGGAAAAGAACGAUGAGGACAAGAAGCCGAGCCAGCGACAGGUGGCACAAGAGGAAAAAGAAGAGAGGCGCGUGGGGAUCGUGCAAAGAGCCGAUCAAGACCUAGCCGAAGAACGCGCCGUAUUAGAGUGCUGUCCUUAGAGGUUUUUGUGGCAUGCUAACAGAGAGGGCCUGGUGCUCGCCUGGUGGUCCUGACGGCGGCUCCAGCUGGGACACGCCGGACCAGGGCGCUGUCUGAGGAGUUUCACCUUCCUGUUCCCUGGGGAUCGAGGUUCGGGAGCAGCUGUAUUUGUCCGGGGUCAACGACACUGGGUGCGGCUCCUGCUACGUCGGCGUGCGCGGCAGGGACGAGGGGUUUCUGAUUGCCGUCGCCAGCUAAGACGGCUGAAAGCCAUUUAUGAACGUGAGGCCUGACGGAGGCCUUGUCUCCUGCUGCUCGCUACGGGCAAGGGUCGUCGCCGUGCGUGGACUGUCGCCUCCUCGGGAUGCUGGUUCAACAAACUGUGAGCUAUUGUGUAGCCACGUAGGUUAGACAGUAACCACGCAGACCUUAGGUAGUUGUACUUUUGUGCUUAGUAGGUGUACUUUUGUGCUUGUCGUUGUGAAAGUUGAUGGAAUCCCUUGUUCUUAUAAAUGUUGUUCAAAAUCUACUCUGGCGUCAUCUCAUAUCGUUCAUUUCGUUGACCACGCACUGGCAAAUGUGAAGAACCACCCCUGUUUUUACACUGGCAAUGUGGCUGCUGUUUAGGUUGCAGUUGUGGUGAACUCCAAGUGCGACACACUGGCAGGGGCACAGUUUGCCAUGGUGCUCUUUGAGUGACUGUUGCUGUUCUUGUCACCAUUGAUGAGCAGCUGAAACUUGAGUGCAAUUUCUGAAGCUUCAUUGGUGGCGUUAUUGCAACGUCCCUCUCAAAGUGUCAAUAGACUCCCAUAACAAAGGAAAGCCUGACAAGAGACGUUUAAAUUUUCAGAGAACCUCAUAUAGCCAGAGGGACUACACAGUCCAUGUAAAAAGCUUUGCAAACUUCUAAGCAUAUCUACGUCAGUGAGUGCACUCCCUUGUCUGUUGCAUUCCUUCGUAAAUAGCCUACAGCCUCAAAUAUUUCAUAUCAGUGUGAAAGCAUGUUUGUUUCCUUUGUGCUGCUGUACUGUGUAACGGCGUAAAUCAUUGCCCUGUGCAUCUACCCUCAUGCAGUCUCCAUAAAAUGAGGUAUUGGCCUAUGCUUAAGAUCGGGGCAUGUAUUCUUUUCCUCAUCCUCCUGUAUAUGCCACAUCAUACACAUAUCUAGUGCAGCGCUAUGUGCGUUUGAUAAUUUCCAUUACUUGGUAUGCAUUAAUAUUAUUUCUGAUAUUACACAUCUUGAAUUAGGCUAGUACAAUGUACAUAUCAAUAUACCGUGUGACCUGGUUUGUACAUUCCUCCAGUUUAUGUCGACACCUAUUUAUGACGAAAUUGCUAGUUGACAGGAAAACAUGUCAAAAUAUGUAAUUUACUAAAGACCUAAAAUGUGUACUAGUUUACUGAAAACUAUUGUGAGAGGAAAGUUGCUACCAUGUACAACACCUUUGUUGUCAACUGAGAAUCUAAUAAAAUACUGCAUUUACUAGAA